This 372-nucleotide ribosomal RNA is filed under the name uncultured organism. RNAcentral's name for it is "bacterial SSU rRNA". It matches the Rfam family "Bacterial small subunit ribosomal RNA", at positions 526 to 896 of the family's 1533-position model. The record is from RNAcentral.
CAGAGGGUGCGAACGUUGCUCGGAAUUACUGGGCGUAAAGCGCGUGUAGGCGGGACCGCAAGUCAGAUGUGAAAUCCCCGAGCUCAACUCGGGAACUGCAUCUGAAACUGCGGACCUUGAGUACUGGAGAGGGCGGCGGAAUUCCUGGUGUAGAGGUGAAAUUCGUAGAUAUCAGGAGGAACACCGGUGGCGAAGGCGGCCGCCUGGACAGUCACUGACGCUGAGACGCGAAAGCGUGGGGAGCAAACAGGAUUAGAUACCCUGGUAGUCCACGCCGUAAACGAUGGGUGCUAGGUGUCUCGGGUAUUGACCCCUGAGGUGCCGUAGCUAACGCGUUAAGCACCCCGCCUGGGAAGUACGGUCGCAAGACUA